RNAcentral lists this ribosomal RNA (467 nucleotides) under uncultured bacterium. RNAcentral's name for it is "partial 16S ribosomal RNA". It matches the Rfam family "Bacterial small subunit ribosomal RNA", at positions 28 to 507 of the family's 1533-position model. The record is from RNAcentral.
GACGAACGCUGGCGGCGUGCUUAACACAUGCAAGUCGAACGGAAAGGCCCUGCUUUUGUGGGGUGCUCGAGUGGCGAACGGGUGAGUAACACGUGAGUAACCUGCCCUUACUUUUGGAUAACUUCAGGAAACUGGGGCUAAUACCGGAUAGGAGCCCCUUCCUCAUGGUGGGGGUUGGAAAGGUUCGGCGGUUGGGGAUGGACUCGCGGCUUAUCAGCUUGUUGGUGGGGUAGUGGCUUACCAAGGCUUUGACGGGUAGCCGGCCUGAGAGGGUGACCGGCCACAUUGGGACUGAGAUACGGCCCAGACUCCUACGGGAGGCAGCAGUGGGGAAUAUUGCACAAUGGGCGGAAGCCUGAUGCAGCAACGCCGCGUGCGGGAUGACGGCCUUCGGGUUGUAAACCGCUUUCGCCUGUGACGAAGCGUGAGUGACGGUAAUGGGUAAAGAAGCACCGGCUAACUACGUG